Molecule: long non-coding RNA, 151 nt
Organism: Choloepus didactylus (southern two-toed sloth)
Lineage: Eukaryota; Metazoa; Chordata; Mammalia; Pilosa; Megalonychidae
Exons: 3
Source: RefSeq, a predicted model, not a curated record
GCAGAAGACAGCUGCCCGCUCUUUCCAGAAAAGGUGCUGGAGAUAGAGUUUGUUGAAAGCCCUUUGGAUUCUAGUCACGGAAUUCACAAAGCCUUGCCUCCAGGCUCCUGAAAGGGAACAAAGAAACCCGUGAUUGUUAAUUUUCAAGUAA